CUGAGAAGUUGAAUAUAUGUUUAGACAAGGUCAUCCUGUCUUAGUUGGAACAACUAGCGUAGAAAAUUCAGAACUUUUGUCUGGUCUGCUUAGGGAAUGGAAUAUUCCUCAUAAUGUUCUAAAUGCUAGACCCAAGUAUGCAGCAAAAGAAGCUGAAAUUGUUGCUCAAGCAGGACGGAAAUCCAAAAU
Long non-coding RNA from Glycine soja, 189 nucleotides. RefSeq lists it as uncharacterized. The record is from RefSeq and is a predicted model, not a curated record. The transcript is spliced from 3 exons. Lineage: Eukaryota; Viridiplantae; Streptophyta; Magnoliopsida; Fabales; Fabaceae.